Molecule: long non-coding RNA, 1619 nt
Filed under: Homo sapiens (human)
Lineage: Eukaryota; Metazoa; Chordata; Mammalia; Primates; Hominidae
Description: HSALNT0302128
Source: RNAcentral
GUAGAAGGCGGACAGAAGUGUGGUCGACAUGUUUCUGGAUCCCGCAGUGGCCGGAGCGGCAGGCCGGGAGGUUGCCACAAAAAGCUUGGGCCUGAAGCUCGAAGGCCCCGGACCCGCUGGGGAAAGAACUAGGCCUGCCACUCAGGGAUUCGAGUCCCUGGAGUGUAUCCUGCAUUUCCCACUACUGUACUCCCCUCAUGGCCCAGGGAGCCAGAGUCCAGGAUCAGUAGGAUGAAAAAUGAAUGCGGAUGAAGCUACUACCCUUCCAAAGCUAUGAUUCUCAAGAUAACUAUUAGUGGGUAACACUUAUUCUGAAAUUAUAAAUGAAAAAUGGUGAGCCAGUGAAAAACUGGACCAGCAGCAAAACGUUUGCAAGAGCGCCACCUGCUGGAUGUGUGAGGAAGAGGGCUGGGCUGGGCUUGAAAAGGAAGAAAAUCAUUAAGGUUUCUAGAUUAAAAUCACUGCAAAGGAUGUGAGAGAGAGAGAGAGAGAGUGAGAGUGUGUGUGUGUGUGUGUGUUUGAGUGUUUGAGACGAGUCUCACUCUGUCGCCCAGGCUGGAGUGCAGUGGUGCGAUCUCGGCUCACUGCAACCUCCGCUUCCCGGGUUCAAGCAAUUCUCUGCCUCAGCCUCCCGAGUGGCUGGGAUUACAGGCGCCCACCACCACGCCCAGCUAAUUUUUUUUGCAUUUUUUGUAGAGACGGGGGUUUCACCAUCUUGACCAGGCUGGUCUUGAACUCCUGACCUUGUGAUCCACCCGCCUCAGCCUCCCAACAUGCUGGGAUUACAGGUGUGAAACACCGCGCCCAGCUGAUAAAUGUGUUUAAUGGCAUUUUAAGUGAGACACUUGUUACUGCCACCAAGCGAUAGGUAAACAAUGUAGGCACAGAAUAAGUCAUUUUCUCUGACUCUCCUUUCCCCAGGUUCCUCCUCACAGCUAAGAGGACGGAUAUACUUUCACUGGGUGGCAAAAUCAGGUUUCCUAGCAUUAGCAUACUUUUUGGGGGGUAGGGGAAAUGCUCAAUGGCUCUUUGAAUAAUUAGGAUGGAAUGUGUAGGUCACUGCAGGACUUAACACAUGCAGACAAUAAAAAUAAAUUAUUUGUGCAAAGUUGAUCCUGAAUUCUCCCAGGAUCCAACAUUUGGAACAUAUUUCUGCUUUGCUAAAAUGGAACAAAAUUCACAAAUCUGACCAAAUGGGCUGUUUGCCAACUAAUCCAGCCCCUACAUAAAGCCAGAAAAGGGGAGAGGGGAGGGAUCAUGUGUAUGUGCUAAAAUCCAACUCUCUGUAGUCAUUUCACAGAGAAUGCAGGGCGGCUAUGGCAGGGCAUUAGAGGCCCUGGGGGAUGAAAAAGGCUCAUUCAGGCCUGCAGGUGGCCUGCACCUGGGGACAGAGUAAAUCUGCAACGGAGUCGCCUCACUUCCUACAGUAGCAGCAAUAAAAUAGGCUGCCCUGAAUGAGUGAACUGAAGAAAAGUUUCUCUGUAAGGAGUGACAGACGACUGGACUCACAGAAGUAGGGGAGGCAUGAAUGGGAUAAAAUUUUUGAAUUUAUGUUCAACAUGUUUCCUGCAGAUUUAGUGGAGGAAAAAUCCACACAUACCCCCAUCCCAAUCCCCCAG